RNAcentral lists this ribosomal RNA (426 nucleotides) under uncultured bacterium. RNAcentral's name for it is "bacterial SSU rRNA". It matches the Rfam family "Bacterial small subunit ribosomal RNA", at positions 356 to 773 of the family's 1533-position model. The record is from RNAcentral.
GAGGAAUUUUGCGCAAUGGGGGCAACCCUGACGCAGCAACGCCGCGUGAGUGAAGAAGGCCUUUGGGUCGUAAAGCUCUGUCAACCGGGAAGAAGUUAUGGGAGUCGAACAGGCUUUCAUAUUGACGGUACCGGUGAAGGAAGCAUCGGCUAACUCCGUGCCAGCAGCCGCGGUAAUACGGGGGAUGCAAGCGUUAUUCGGAAUUAUUGGGCGUAAAGGGCGCGUAGGCGGUUUUGUCGGUCAGAUGUGAAAGCCCGGGGCUCAACCCCGGACGUGCAUUUGAAACAGCAAGACUUGAGUACGGGAGAGGAAAGCGGAAUUCCUGGUGUAGAGGUGAAAUUCGUAGAUAUCAGGAGGAACACCGAUGGCGAAGGCAGCUUUCUGGACCGAUACUGACGCUGAGGCGCGAAGGCGUGGGUAGCGAAC